Long non-coding RNA from Gadus morhua (Atlantic cod), 510 nucleotides. RefSeq lists it as uncharacterized. Lineage: Eukaryota; Metazoa; Chordata; Actinopteri; Gadiformes; Gadidae. The record is from RefSeq and is a predicted model, not a curated record. The transcript is spliced from 2 exons.
AUCGCUUGACAGCUCUAAAAAAAACACAUACAAGUAUUGGUCUGACUGUUAGGGUUACCACAUGUAUGGCUUCCCCAAGGACCAAGAGCGCAGGAAGAAAUGGAUGGCAAUGGUCAGCCGUCAAAACGUACAAGUGACAGGGGUCAGCAACAGUCAAAAACUAUGUAAUUCCCAACAGUUUUCAUUCAUCGCCCUAAGCCGAAGAGGAGGAAAUCCCCUUCUGUGAGGGUGCCUCCAGAACCAAGUGCAACGGACCACACAUAUUGCGCCAAAUUAUACUUCGGUGUGAUCCAUGCAGCUAACAAUAUUCCCCAUUUCAUCUAAUUCAAGGAUAGACUACACUCCUAAUGAGAUUACAUAAUUCAGGGGUAAACGGUGAAGGAAUAACUUUUCCAGGACCAGCUGCUCCGGGGACCAGACUGCCAGGGACUGAUGGGGCGACUGUGGAGGACCUAAUAAGGCAACUAAAAAAGGAAAAAUUAAUGAGAAGGAGAGCAGAGAGGGCUCUUG